This is a long non-coding RNA of Ixodes scapularis (black-legged tick), 916 nucleotides long. RefSeq lists it as uncharacterized. The record is from RefSeq and is a predicted model, not a curated record. The transcript has 3 exons. NCBI's taxonomy places the organism in Eukaryota, Metazoa, Arthropoda, Arachnida, Ixodida, Ixodidae.
GUUGGUUGGUUUUUUGAUUCUGAGAGAGCCGGACGUGGCCCACGUGGCGACGUGGGUUCGGAGUUGUGGUGAACUUGCGAAGGUUGCUACGACUGUCGUCUGCUCUUUUGCCGGGACCGCUACUUUGGUUCGCACCCUUGCAUCAACAUUUUGAGGAAAUCCUGGAACUUUUUCACCACUUUGGACCGCCUUCGUCAACAUCAGCUGUUUCCCCGCCGCAAGUCCGGCAACCGCUGGUACGCAAACAAAGCCUACUUGGAGGAUCCCUUCAAAAGCUGUCACUACCGUCCGAGCAACUUGGGCACGGCACCACCGCCGCUGCAAUGUCCUACAAACAUCCCGUUCAUUCCCAGGUAGUACAGGCCCCCCGAUCGGUGCACACUGCCCGCAGGUGGUUAAUUCUUCCUCACUGGGUUGGCCUGGCCCUUGGCUCGAGCACUGGCAGCCGCAUCCCCCAGAGCUCAACGUGCUGGGGUCGUGUACUGUCGAAACGGAGUUUUCUGCCCCCGUUGAAAACCCGGGUCUCCGUUAUUGGUGCAGCCGACUCCUGGCCCCCUGGAUGUGUGCACUCUUGGCCGGGAAGCGAGGGCGGACCACUUCCUGGGUUCCCCGCCGAGGAACAUGCAGGUGGGUCCAGACUCUGAUGUUUUGUACCACCGUUGUCCUCGGAAGUUUCUCAAUGGUUGCGGUGUCUUGGAGAUCGACUGCCACAAUGUUUUUUUCUCGUGUUUACCCGCACCGCUUUCGCCUGUCCGUCCGUGGCAAGCGACAAGGCUCGUGCGACUUGCAGUUUGUUUUUCAUCAGAAAUUUCCGUGCCAUUAGAGCUAUUUAGGUGCAAGGAGGGCAAGUUUUCACAAUCUGCUUACUUAACUUGGUCAAUUCUUUUCGAGUGUCCAGACAUUGUAACGUAUUUCC